Long non-coding RNA from Hipposideros armiger (great roundleaf bat), 1135 nucleotides. RefSeq lists it as uncharacterized. The transcript is spliced from 3 exons. The record is from RefSeq and is a predicted model, not a curated record. Lineage: Eukaryota; Metazoa; Chordata; Mammalia; Chiroptera; Hipposideridae.
GCCCAGCUCCCCGAGUCGGAGGCUCCCAUCCGCGCGAAGCACUUGGUACCCACGAAGGGAUGAGAGGGCAUUUGAUGAGUGGGGAUGGGAGGGCUGGAAAUUGGCAGGGUGAGAACUGGGGAGACUCGUCUGAGUUGAAUCCCUCCCUGUUCCUGCUCUUCACCCGCCCCCUUGUUGAGGGCCUUGGCUUUUGCAUAAUAAUCAGGUUAUUUGACAUGGGCCCAGCCUUGUCUGGGUACCUGGGGUUAUGCGUACUGCCUAUAUUCAGACGGUGCCAGCUGGUGACAGAUCACAGGUGAGGAUACAAAGAUGCACAAGAGAUGGAUGCAUUUCUCCAAGAUCCUCAGCCAGCCUCAAACUCAGGCAAUCAGUGUCUAGAGGAAGAGCUCUGAGUUAUAUCGCUACGCUAGACGCAUGAUGCUGCUUUGGACAAAGAAGGCGUCGGUGCUCACCGCACCCGCACACGGACAGACAGAAAGUUCUCUGCUUCCUUCGGGCCUUUCCUUCCACCACCCAGGGGCUCCCAGCCGAGCCUGAGGCUGCUGUGUUUUCUUUUUUCUCUCCCACACUGUCUUGCCUGGUGGCUUCAGCAAAAACACACACACACACACACACACACACACACACACACACACACACACACACACACGGGAUUCCAAGGAGAGAAGUACUGUAGGACACAAUGGGCACGGCUCAUGAGGUGCCAGCAGAAUGCGGGGAAGUCAGGUCAAGAGCGGCGCACAGUCCCAUGACUUAGGCUACCUUGCAGGAGCUUACUGAAUGCGUGUGAUUUUUAACAUCUUCAAGUUGGAUCUCCUCCAGGCCCGCCAGCUGGAGCUCUCAGUCCGACUCAGCUCGCCUUAACUCAAUUAACUAAGCUGGGUUGAGCCGGGCUGAGCUGAACUCAACAAGUAUUUCUUAAGCACUGAGCUGGCUGCAGGGGAAAAAAAACCAAGAGGGCGAGCCACAGACUUUGCCAGACUCAGCCCUUUAAGGAGAUGCCUUGCGCUCUUACAGGAUAACACGGUGCCGUGUUUUCUAGGUACCACUGUCACAGGUUUCCACGUCUGCACUCCCCUCUGUGCUAUGACUGACUUCAUAUUUUCCCUUAAAUAAAUCAUUUUUUCUCAAAGUA